RNAcentral lists this ribosomal RNA (460 nucleotides) under uncultured Bacteroidota bacterium. RNAcentral describes it as "bacterial SSU rRNA". It matches the Rfam family "Bacterial small subunit ribosomal RNA", at positions 338 to 795 of the family's 1533-position model. The record is from RNAcentral. Lineage: Bacteria; Pseudomonadati; Bacteroidota.
CCUACGGGGGGCUGCAGUGAGGAAUAUUGGACAAUGGAUGGAAAUCUGAUCCAGCCAUGCCGCGUGCAGGAAGACGGCCCUAUGGGUUGUAAACUGCUUUUGUAUGGGAGCAAUAAGGGCUACGUGUAGUCCGAUGAGAGUACCAUACGAAUAAGCACCGGCUAACUCCGUGCCAGCAGCCGCGGUAAUACGGAGGGUGCAAGCGUUAUCCGGAUUUAUUGGGUUUAAAGGGUGCGUAGGCGGUUUGAUAAGUCAGCGGUGAAAUAUUUCAGCUUAACUGGAAGGGUGCCGUUGAUACUGUCGAGCUUGAAUUUAGUUGCUGUGGGUGGAAUGUGUGGUGUAGCGGUGAAAUGCAUAGAUAUCACACAGAAUAUCGAUUGCGAAGGCAGCUCACAAAGCUAAUAUUGACGCUGAUGCACGAAAGUGUGGGGAUCAAACAGGAUUAGAUACCCUAGUAGUC